Long non-coding RNA from Arabidopsis thaliana (thale cress), 278 nucleotides. RefSeq annotates it as other RNA. The record is from RefSeq. NCBI's taxonomy places the organism in Eukaryota, Viridiplantae, Streptophyta, Magnoliopsida, Brassicales, Brassicaceae. The transcript has a single exon.
GUCUCCAGCUCUCACGAUUUAAACCAAACUAUGCAUAUACAGAAGUGUUUGACAUGAUCCUUGUAAUUGUAUAAACUCUCGAAUCCAUUAUAUUGACUUUAUUUUCUUCUCCAACAAUGUAUACUUUGUCUUUGCACUUAACCUUGUCAUCUUCAUCCAUCCAUAUGUUACUCUUACAACACAUGACGACUUUGUUCUCCUGGUCUAGCAAGCAACUUAUGUCAAUAUGUCAUGCCAGGAUUCAGCGCCGAGAUACAAUGCUAAGACCUUGUUCCACG